Molecule: non-coding RNA, 448 nt
Organism: Punica granatum (pomegranate)
Lineage: Eukaryota; Viridiplantae; Streptophyta; Magnoliopsida; Myrtales; Lythraceae
Source: RefSeq, a predicted model, not a curated record
CUAACUAUAAAUAAUUAUAUUUAUUUGUUAUAUGCAGACUUGCUGUCCUGCUUACGCUAACCACUCCAUGCCUCAUGGUGAGUAAAGACCAAAGCCACCUAAACAAUCGAAAGCCAUCAACCAUUUUGCCUACCAAUUGAAGUUUGGCACAAAUGAAUUACUAUAGCUAGUAGAAUUAAGAUUAGGGUGGCAGAACGAUAUGACAUGUAGUUGAAGCCUCACCCCACCGCACUUGCAAGUCUGCUGCCUCGAAGGCCAUCAACCUUGAUGUCAUCUCUGAGUGUAUACCCUAGUAUCCAGAAGCCCAAUGAGAUUUGACUAAUCCAGUAAGGAGAUCGAGUAUUAAAGGUUAUUCUCCCUCCCAACGAGUGCGCUUCCCGAGAUUCGAAUCUAUGUUCUCCUCCUUAUGAACGUGAAUUGCUUACCACUCAAUCCACACUUUUAGUGA